Molecule: unclassified non-coding RNA, 3710 nt
Filed under: Hevea brasiliensis (rubber tree)
Lineage: Eukaryota; Viridiplantae; Streptophyta; Magnoliopsida; Malpighiales; Euphorbiaceae
Source: RNAcentral
AAAUAAUGGAUCUGGGAUUUCUUCUACACGCGCUUAUUCCCUCAUUGAACUCGGUUUAUGUACUAGUCGUAUUCUUUGGUUAUCUGGCAAUUGCUGGAUCAAUACUCCCUGGAAAAGUUGUUCCUGGAGUUACCCUGCAGGAUGGUUCUCGUCUUUGUUAUCGUUGCAAUGGGUUGUUGUCAUUGCUGUUGCUGGUUGCUCUUCUUGGGGUUGGAGCUAAGAUGGAUCUUUUAUCACCCACUGUGAUAUCAGAGAGAGGAUUUGAGCUGCUAUCAACAACCUUUAUAUUCAGUGUUCUUGUAACUUCCAGUCACUUGGGGGCUUUUGCCUUUUUGCCAUUUCCAACUGCAGCCCUUUAAUCUCAAUCAUUUUUAUUGGUGAACUAUCCCAUUUAGAAUGAGCCUUCAUAUGAAAUGUUUGCCACCUCAUUUCCAUCAUGACUUGGAGUUUCAAAAUGCUAACCAUGAUUAUAAGUUUGUCAACUUGAGGUGUCAUUGGUACUCUAUGCUGCUGGUUGCAAUUCACAAAACCAGAGUUCUUCCCUGAAGCCUCAUGUCACUGGAAACCUAAUACAUCACUGGUAUUAGUACCAAACCUUGCUUCUUGUGAUAACCAUUUGAGUGAUAGGAUUUAAGCAAGUUAUUAUAUGAAUAUAUUCUUGCCCAUCUUUUAAACAUUUUUUUUUAAUUGUAGUUAAAAUAAUAUUUUUCUCAAUUUACUGCAUAUCUUUGAAAACUGAAAUAAGGAAUAAUAAAUUUUGUGGAGGCAAUCAAACCCUUAUUUUACGAUCAAUCCUUUUGUCCUAUUCCAUGCUAUAAUAUUUUCUGCAUGAUUAAAUAAUCUUGUAUGUGCUUGAUCCGUCAUCCAAUGCAGGAUCAGUCAUAAACUCCUAAAGGAGAUUUUAGUUUAAAAUCUCAACCAUCAAAAUCCAAUUUCAUCCAUUUUAAGUAAAAACUUUAGUCAAUAUCUAGAGAAUGAUGGACUUAUCACUUUUUUUACUUUUGUUUGUGCACUCACUAUUUGCUUAAAAUAAGCAAAUUCAAGUAUUCUCUUGCACUAUUUUUGCUGUCUUGCUCUGUAAAGAGUUGAUCAUUUAAUUCUUUCUUCAUUCUGGCGUCUCCCACAAUUGCCUACUUUAUGAACUUUGACGGUUCUCUAUAUAUUCUCAACCCUUUCUGCCCUAAAAAUGCAAGGUUGAUCACCUCUUCUGCUUGCUACACAUUCACUUGCAGAGUGUUUUCUUGUAUCAUUAAUCUUAAGAUCAUCACCCUUUUUAUCAUUCAACCGGUGGUUUGUAAUACAACUCAAUCCUCAGUUUGUGGGCAUUGACCUCAAGUAUGUAAUGCAGCUUUUAAUUGUUUGGAUGUGUUUCUUCUUUGGCAUUCUAAAUGCAUCCAUCAAAUGGGAUGGGUGUCGCUGUGAUCUCUAGAAUAUUCAAUUUGUUUCAAACUGUUUCUACAUUUAACAAGCACCUUUCUUCGCAGUGCAGUUUCAUUUCAUGCACUUGUAGCAUGAGCUUACCUUAAUCCCUAUUUGGUCUAUGGUUUCUAUCUGUUAAAGGCAUAGAGAGGAUGGUUUAACAUAUUAGAAACAUCAUUUUUUUUUCUUUAUGACAUUUUUAUCCAAGUGGACUAAAUAGGUGACAGACAUAACGGUAAGCUAACAAUGAAGAAGUUCUCUCUUAUAGAUUCUUCUUUGUUAGAGCUGGAAUGAUGGGAUGGCUAUUUAUAAACCUAUCAGUUCUAUCCAAAAGUAUUCAUGAUGCCAACUUGAGAUGUUCAAUGUCCUUAACCAACUAUUCUGUGUGGUAAUCUGGUGAUGCUUGGUAGUACCUUAUUUUAUUUCUCUACCCUUUAUCCAUGUCAUAUAGAAUUACUGUUAUUUCUUUUAUGAGGAAUACAUGAUCUCCACGUAAGUGCUUGACUUGCACCUCAUCUGUGGAGAUUAAUAUCAUUUUUUUUUUCUAAAUUCCUCUCAAUUUAAUAGAUUAUACCUGUAGUUGCUUAUUAGAAUGGGAAAAAGGGAAGGAAUUAAUCUUCUAAAUGGGUUAUAGAGUAUGCUUGCACCAAAUUCUAGGGCAUGAUAUGUCCUCUUAUACAUUUACAGUUUCCAUUUUUUUUCCCCGGGUCUUAUCUUUUACUUGUAUUCAUAAGCUUGCUUGGCUAUCCUUUUCCACCUGUUUCUAAUUCCUUGUCUAUUCUAUGAAUUGUUACAAAGAUGUUCUUUUUUCCCUCAUGUAAUUUGAUUCACAUAUCUGAGCCAUUUCCUUAUAGGUGGAUAUAAUCGCAGAGACACUGUGUUCAUGUUGGUAUUUGGUGAUCUUGUAUGGAAUUCUUUCACCUUUAGCAUCCAGGGUUGGUGGCUUUUGGCUAACAAGGCAGAGCUAACAACAGCUGCUGUUAUAGCAAAUUCCUUAGUUUUUCUGGUUGGGUAACUUUCUGGUAUCUGGUCUUUAGAGGAGCUAACAAGCAAAAGCAUGUUUUCAAAAAGAAUCCCAAAGCACUUUUAUGGGGUAAACCACCGAGGGUUAUUGGGGGAAAGCUGCUUGCUUCUGGUUAUUGGUAAGAAUCAUACUUGAUUAUAUCCUUUCAUAUCAAAUUGUAAUGUCCUACUGCAUUGUGUAUAACCUUAUUAGAAAUUUCAAUUAAACCUUGUCUUAAUAAUAAAAUGAAACACUGCUAAACUGAAUCUGGAAAGGGGAACUCUCUGAAUCUAUUUGCAGAAUGGAGGAGUUUUCAUGCCUAAGAAUUGAAGAAUUUAUCUGCAAACAUCAUCUUUAAUUGGUUUUCCGUAAUGUUUCAUAAUAUGAGAAGAAGCAGAAGCAAACCUACUAACUCAACAAGUGUGGUUCGGUUAGUCUCUAAGAUUCACCUGAAUUGGCCUAGAGCUCAGCAGAUGACUUCUUUGUCAUGCUUAUAAACAGAUGAUAGCAGCCACCUAUAUGGAGUCUCCCUAGCUGCUUUUUUCUUCAUGGAUUAUUCUACUAUCUCAAGGGAGUACCUUCUUAUUGGAUUCUUUGAGUUUCCAUUUUGAGUAAAAGUAUGUGCCUAUAGGCUAGCAACGUGCUUUCAUUUUCUAUAAAUGAUGUUUCAUUAUAUUGUGCUGGAGGGAAAUCAGUCACCUAUGACACAUGGUCCUCCUGUAAAGGGGGAAAUAAUCUUUUCAUGGGAAGAGUUUAAUGAGUGUAAUCUGGGAGUAUUGCAAGACAUUGUAACUAUCUUGGAGACUUACUGUUGGCUCAGUCCUUUAGUCUACCUUGUGGGAUAAGUGCUCCUGUUCCAUACUUCUAUCCGCUUUAUCUCCUCAUUCUGCCCAUAUGGAGGGAAAGGAGUGGUGAGGCUCGCUGUGCUGAGAAGUAUAAAGAAGUAUGGGCCGAGUACAGUAGACUUGUUCCCUGGAGAAUACUGCCGUAAUUCUAUUAAUAUCAAGAUUCUUGAAUAGUUGCUCAGACUUCCAAGUUAGAAGCAAAGCAACCGAGUGGCUUCUGUUUGCAUUAGAUUUUCAUUUUUAGGUUUAUUACAUGAUUAAUCUCAUGUUUAUAGCUUGAACACCAAUUAAUGAUUGUCACAAUUUUGUUUUUGUUCUUAAGAUGACAAAGGAAAAUAUUUCAUGAUUUUCUUGGGUGAAACUGUUUUAAUGGUGGAGAGUAGCUCUUCCAUAUUAUGGCCUAUGACAAAAUUGGCAAUGUAUUCAAGAUAACACCGUAAAGU